UCUUCCGCAAUGGACGAAAGUCUGACGGAGCAACGCCGCGUGAGUGAUGAAGGUUUUCGGAUCGUAAAACUCUGUUGUUAGGGAAGAACAAGUACCGUUCGAAUAGGGCGGCACCUUGACGGUACCUAGCCAGAAAGCAACGGCGACCUACGUGCCAGCAGCGGCGGUAAUACGUAGGUGGCAAGCGUGGUCCGGAAUUAUUGGGCGUAAAGCGCGCGCAGGCGGUUUCUUUAGUCUGAUGUGAAAGCCCCCGGCUCAACCGGGGAGGGUCAUUGGAAACUGGGGAACUUGAGUGCAGAAGAGGAGAGUGGAAUUCCACGUGUAGCGGUGAAAUGCGUAGAGAUGUGGAGGAACACCAGUGGCGAAGGCGACUCUCUGGUCUGUAACUGACGCUGAGGCGCGAAAGCGUGGGGAGCGAACGG
Molecule: ribosomal RNA, 422 nt
Filed under: uncultured bacterium
Lineage: Bacteria
Description: bacterial SSU rRNA
Rfam family: Bacterial small subunit ribosomal RNA
Source: RNAcentral